AUGGGGGGCGGCAGGAAGCGCGGGCGCUCGCAGCGUCGUCACUUCAAGCAGGAGCGCGAGAACGUCUGGAAGGACAACCCCAGGCGCCCUCCCGCCUCCGCCGGCGAAGGAGGCGAGGGGAACGGCUGGCAGCCGUUCGCCACGGAGAACCUGGCCUUCGAGGCCUACUACAAGGGGCAGCAAAUUGUUCCUGAGGAAGAGUGGGAUGCCUUCAUGAGCAUGCUCCGGAAGCCAUUGCCAGCCGCUUUUAGGAUUAAUGCGAGCUCUCAGUUUUGUCAAGACAUUUGUUCACAAUUAGAAAAUGACUUCAGGAAGUCGUUAGAGACUGAGGUCAAUGAUGACCAUGAAAAAGAGGCUAUUCGGCCUUUGGCUUGGUACCCUGGCAAUCUUGCAUGGCAUUUGAACUUCUCUCGGAUGCAACUGAGGAGAAACCAGGCGCUUGAGAGUUUCCAUGAAUUCUUGAAGCAAGAGAAUGAAGUUGGUAAUAUUACCAGGCAAGAGGCUGUCAGCAUGGUCCCACCUUUGUUUCUGAAUGUGCAACCUGACCAUCAUAUUCUUGACAUGUGUGCCGCUCCAGGGUCUAAAACUUUCCAGUUACUUGAGAUGAUCCACCAGUCAACAAAGCCUGGAGUGCUUCCAACUGCCAUGGUGGUAGCUAAUGAUGUUGACGUGCAAAGAUGCAACCUUCUUAUUCAUCAGACGAAGAGAAUGUGCACAGCCAACCUGAUAGUGACAAAUCAUGAAGCCCAAAAUUUUCCUGGCUGUAGUCUUGCAAAGUUCUGUCCAGAAGCAUACAUAGACGAGUCCAAGCCGCAGAGGUUGGAAUUUGAUCGUAUUCUGUGUGAUGUGCCAUGUAGUGGUGAUGGAACUGUCCGUAAGGCUCCUGAUAUGUGGAGAACAUGGAAUAUCGGCAUGGGAAAUGGACUUCAUCGUCUCCAAGUGGAAAUAGCAAUGCGCGGCAUUGCACUGCUUAAAGUGGGCGGAAGGAUGGUCUACUCAACAUGCUCAAUGAAUCCUGUUGAAAAUGAAGCUGUUGUUGGUGAGAUUCUGCGGAGAUGUGGGGAUUCUGUUGAACUCCUUGAUGUUUCUAAUGAGCUACCUGAAUUGAUCCGCCGUCCUGGACUUAGCACUUGGAAGGUACGGGAUAGAGCGUCUUGGUUGGGCAGUCAUAAAGAUGUACUUCACUACAGGAAGAAUGCAAUAUUGCCAAGUAUGUUCCCUUCGGGUAAAGCUACCACGGACAGCUGUACGGCGGGUGGCAGUGUUGAGGUCAACAUAGAUGCAGUCGAUGCAGAUAUGAGUGAGUCAGGGGGUAUGGUAGAGGGAAAACAAGAAACGAAGAUAGCGACUGAUGACAGCAAUAACGGUGACAAUGGCAAGACUGAAGAGAUAGAACAAGAUGAAUCUGAGUCUGUUAAAGUUUCAAGGGGCUCAAAUGAAAAAACAGAUUCAACCUCCAUCGUUACAGAGCAUUCAAAUUUACCACUGCAUCGUUGCAUGAGAAUUAUUCCUCAUGACCAAAACAGUGGAGCAUUUUUUAUAGCAGUCCUUCAGAAACUCUCUCCGCUGAAUGAGAGUCCGGUGGUAGAAGUGAUGAAAGGUGAGCACAGUACCUCGAAAGACAAGGCUUUGAAAUGUUCUAAUGGUCAGGGAUCAGAUAAGGUGCCGGCUGAAGAAAUUUCAGUUCAGCAGCCAGGGGUUGAUGAUAGCCAUGUUCUCGUUGAGCAACAAAACAGAGACAUGGAUGCUGAAAUUUCAAAAGAUAGAAGCUCUGAGGAAGCUAAGGUGAUUGCUGGUGAGGUGCAAAAUGAUCAAGCGACAAGGAGAGAUAAGAGAAAGACCCAGAACCAAGGCAGAUGGAGAGGGGUUGAUCCUGUGAUAUUUUUCAAAGACGAAGCGACAAUCAGAAGCAUAGUAUCUUUCUACGGCAUCAAGGAUUCAUUUACCCUUGAAGGCCAUCUUGUGACUAGGAACCCUGAUACUAAUCAUGUCAAAAGAAUAUACUAUGUCUCAAAAUCAGUUACAGAAGUUUUGGACCUCAAUGUGAAAGUUGGCGAGCGGCUGAAAAUUACCUCACUUGGCUUAAAGAUAUUUGAAAGGCAGUCGUCAAAGGAGGGUUCGCCAUGCACAUUUAGGCUAUCAUCCGAGGGAUUGCCUCUGCUGCUUCCUUACAUCACCAAACAGAUUCUAUAUGCAUCUGCAAUAGACUUUCAGCACCUCUUACAGUACAGAAUCAUUAAAUUCCCUGAUUUUGUGGAUGCAAAAUUCGGUGAGCAAGCUUCAGCUUUGCUACAAGGUUGCUGUGUCGUAAUAUUGCGUGAAGGGCAUGAGGAUCUAGAGUCCAUAGGCAUGGAUCCCUCUGCAAUCGCCGUUGUUUGUUGGAAAGGAAAGACCAAUCUGUGCGUCAUGGUCACCCCCAUGGAUGGGAGGGAGCUGCUUGACAGGAUCUCGUUUCGUUUCGGGCUCAAAAUCCCAAAAGUUGAUGAUGGGAAGCCUGACCUGAAGAGUGACGAUGGAUCGGAUGAGCAGCCUGAUGGUGGCGCCGAGACAGUUGAUCCAGAUUGUAUGCCUGAGAGCAAAGCAGCAGAAGACAUGGAUAUCUCAGAUGUCAAGGACGCCGAGUAG
Molecule: ribosomal RNA, 2625 nt
Filed under: Triticum aestivum (bread wheat)
Lineage: Eukaryota; Viridiplantae; Streptophyta; Magnoliopsida; Poales; Poaceae
Description: partial small subunit ribosomal RNA
Source: RNAcentral